CUACGGGACGCUCCAGUGGGGAAUAUUGCACAAUGGAGGAAACUCUGAUGCAGCAACGCCGCGUGGAGGAUGACACUUUUCGGAGCGUAAACUCCUUUUAUAUAGGAAGAAGAUGACGGUACUAUAUGAAUAAGCGCCGGCUAACUCCGUGCCAGCAGCCGCGGUAAUACGGAGGGCGCAAGCGUUACUCGGAAUCACUGGGCGUAAAGAGCGUGUAGGCGGAUUAAAAAGUCAGAAGUGAAAUCCUAUAGCUUAACUAUAGAACUGCUUCUGAAACUCUUAAUCUAGAAUAUGGGAGAGGUAGAUGGAAUUUCUGGUGUAGGGGUAAAAUCCGUAGAGAUCAGAAGGAAUACCGAUUGCGAAGGCGAUCUACUAGAACAUUAUUGACGCUGAGACGCGAAAGCGUGGGGAGCAAACAGGAUUAGAUACCCGUGUAGUC
Molecule: ribosomal RNA, 439 nt
Filed under: uncultured bacterium
Lineage: Bacteria
Description: partial 16S ribosomal RNA
Rfam family: Bacterial small subunit ribosomal RNA
Source: RNAcentral